Non-coding RNA from Mycena filopes, 91 nucleotides. NCBI's taxonomy places the organism in Eukaryota, Fungi, Basidiomycota, Agaricomycetes, Agaricales, Mycenaceae. The record is from the annotation of a GenBank genome assembly.
UCGGACGUGGUGCAGCGCAGCACGGCCUCUCCUGUUAAGUGAUCUUUACAAGCGUCAGAGGCAGACUCGGGUUCAAUUCCCGGCGUUCGAA